This 1199-nucleotide long non-coding RNA is filed under the name Camelus dromedarius (Arabian camel). Its description in RNAcentral is "lncRNA (ENSCDRG00005012202.1)". Lineage: Eukaryota; Metazoa; Chordata; Mammalia; Artiodactyla; Camelidae. The record is from RNAcentral.
GUCACACUCCUCAGCCCGCCCAGGUCGCGGCCGCUACAGCCGCCGCUGCCCCCGCCCCCUCCUCCGCGCGCCGCCCGCGUGGGCCGCGGUGGGAGGCGCCGGUGGCAGGUUCCCGCGAGCCCCGAUCCGCAACAGCUCCGCGGGGACCGCCGCAGGCCGCGAGUUCACAGGGUGUCAGGCGCUCCCCCUCCCCGGACCCCGACCCGGGCUGAGGCAGCAACGGUUUGCCUGGGCCCUCCCCCUUCCCUCCACCACAGCGAAUCUUCCCGGACCGAGCGCGCGACACGCGCCUAGACCCGGGCUUUCUCUCAGCCUUGGGACCAGGUGCUUGUUGGCAACGCAGAAGAGGCAAAAGUGAAGAAAGCGAAGACGAAGGACAGCUGAAUGGGAACGAUUCGGGGGGUCUUCCCGGCUCCCAGCACCCCCAAGAAGAUGGCUGCCGAUAAACCUCGCGAGAAUUGAUGAAGUCUCGCGGUGACUCCCGGAGCCUGCUGGGAAGAGACAAGGAGCGAAAGGCUGCUGACUUCAGAAACAGCGGGAACCCUAGCUUGUCGUCUGUAACAGACGGCGUGACGCAUCAGCUGGAACGAACCUGCGGACUGGAGCUCUCCUGGGAGAGCGUCCACUCGGAUUUGCCGGGACGCGAGGCGGCCAGGGGCUACAGGUGUGCUGUGCUGUACUGCCUCUGCCGUUAAUCUCAGGGUCCUGCAGUACUGUGUUCCGUUUGUGCUGUGAUGUGGACAAAACAGGGAAGAACGGGCUGGUCGAAUCUAACGCACUGAGACCUCCAGCGGAUUAGCGUCUUGUACAAAAUUAUUCGAUUGAUUAAUUGGCAGAGCACUGGUGACCUAGGGAUGUCCCUAGCCCUUGACAGUUCUCAGGUAGUCUCCAAUCAUCUGAAACUUUCUGACUUUUCCCCAGCCAGAAAUUUUCUCCAUUUACAGCCAAUUCAGCCCCAGAUAGGGAAAUUACAUAGUAUCAGAAGAGAGAGGCUUCAUAUCAGCAUCCUAAAUAAAUAACUUCCUUUCUCCAGGGUGGUCAGAUAAGUUUGAUUCCUGCUUCCCUUGUUCUAUUUGCUAUUAUUUACUACCAUUGUACUAGGUGGAAUUUUGCAAAAGGUCCAGUGCCCAUAAACCAUAAUGAAAUGAAAAAAUUCAUAGUGUAAAGACAGUAAAUAGACCAAUAAAAAGCUCUUUAUG